GACGAACGCUGGCGGCGUGCUUAACACAUGCAAGUCGAGCGAGGCCCCUCCUUCGGGAGGGUGUCCUAGCGGCGAACGGGUGAGUAACACGUGGGCAACCUGCCCUCAGCUCUGGGAUAACUCCGGUAAACCGGGGCUAAUACCUGAUACGACCUCCACUGGCAUCUGCGGAGGUGGAAAGUUUUUCGGCUGAGGAUGGGCCCGCGGCCUAUCAGCUAGUUGGUGGGGUAGUGGCCCACCAAGGCGACGACGGGUAGCCGGCCUGAGAGGGCGACCGGCCACACUGGGACUGAGACACGGCCCAGACUGCUACGGGAGGCAGCAGUGGGGAAUAUUGCGCAAUGGGCGACAGCCUGACGCAGCGACGCCGCGUGAGGGACGAAGGCCUUCGGGUUGUAAACCUCUUUCAGCGGGGACGAAGCGAAAGUGACGGUACCUGCAGAAGAAGCACCGGCCAACUACGUG
Molecule: ribosomal RNA, 465 nt
Filed under: uncultured bacterium
Lineage: Bacteria
Description: partial 16S ribosomal RNA
Rfam family: Bacterial small subunit ribosomal RNA
Source: RNAcentral